RNAcentral lists this ribosomal RNA (314 nucleotides) under uncultured eukaryote. RNAcentral describes it as "partial large subunit ribosomal RNA". It matches the Rfam family "Eukaryotic large subunit ribosomal RNA", at positions 40 to 350 of the family's 3401-position model. The record is from RNAcentral.
GUAUAACUAAGCGGAGGAAAAGAAACUAACAAGGAUUCCCAUAGUAACGGCGAGUGAAGUGGGAAGAGCUCAAACUGAAAAUCGGUCUGGCGCAAGCUGGUCGAAUUGUAGUCUAGAGGAGUGCAUCCAGGCGCGGCGCGAGGGACAACUUCCAAUGAAUGGGAGACCGCAGAGGGUGCCAGUCCCGUCCGGGCCCUCGCCGCUGCGCGGUCGGAUCGCUUCAUCGAGUCGAGUUGCUUGCGAGUGCAGCUCUAAGCGGGUGGUAGAUUCCAUCUAAAGCUAAAUAUCAGCAAGAGACCGAUAGCGCACAAGUA